AACGAACGCUGGCGGCGUGCCUAACACAUGCAAGUCGUGCGAGAAAGUUCCUUCGGGAGCGAGUAAAGCGGCGCACGGGUGAGUAACACGUAGGUAACCUGCCCCCCAGUCUGGAACAACUAGAGGAAACUCUAGCUAAUUCCGGAUGAGACCACGAUCCCUUCGGGGGUUGCGGCCAAAGAUGGCCUCUACUUGUAAGCUAUCGCUGAGGGAUGGGCCUGCGGGCCAUUAGCUUGUUGGUGAGGUAACGGCUCACCAAGGCUGUGAUGGCUAGCUGGUCUGAGAGGAUGACCAGCCACACUGGGACUGAGACACGGCCCAGACUCCUACGGGAGGCAGCAGUGGGGAAUAUUGCGCAAUGGGCGAAAGCCUGACGCAGCGACGCCGCGUGGGUGAUGAA
Molecule: ribosomal RNA, 400 nt
Filed under: uncultured bacterium
Lineage: Bacteria
Description: bacterial SSU rRNA
Rfam family: Bacterial small subunit ribosomal RNA
Source: RNAcentral